This is a long non-coding RNA of Melanotaenia boesemani (Boeseman's rainbowfish), 513 nucleotides long. RefSeq lists it as uncharacterized. NCBI's taxonomy places the organism in Eukaryota, Metazoa, Chordata, Actinopteri, Atheriniformes, Melanotaeniidae. The record is from RefSeq and is a predicted model, not a curated record. The transcript has 3 exons.
CACCUGUGUCACCAUUCCGGAGCUGCAAACAACAGUAACUUGUUAAAUAUAUUUUUAAAGUUAGGUCGAGCUUUAUGAGUUCAGUAGUGGGGAGAAAUGUGUAAAAACAAAAACCAGACGAGACACAAGUUCUGCCAGAGUAAAGUCCAAGUGAACAUUGUAUUGAAGGAAAUGGGCCUUGAACAAGUUUCCCCAACCCUGCCUACCAUCACCCCAUCGUGUUUCAAAAGCCAGUCAGAAUCAGUGUCUUUCUGUUGGCCAGGGGGUGAUGAAAUGUAAAGUCGUUCUGGCAGUGGGCUCCACUGAUCAAUCCAAAAAAACUGGACUGUGUCUAAAGAAAACCUGUGUCCCCAGAACAACUUUCUGUAUGUGUGUGCGUGUGUGUGUGUGUGUGAGAGAGAUCAGAUGUGCAUAUCUGUAUCUGUACACACUGUGGCCCUCAUUUAUCAAACGAACUUGGAAAUGAGCACACAUCUGAUCGUAGGAAUGAUCUUACGAUUGGAUCCAUGUGUG